CCAGACUCCUACGGGAGGCAGCAGUGGGGAAUAUUGCACAAUGGGGGAAACCCUGAUGCAGCGACGCCGCGUGGGUGAAGGAGUAUUUCGGUAUGUAAAGCCCUAUCGGCAGGGAAGAAGCAAGACGGUACCUGACUAAGAAGCCCCGGCUAACUACGUGCCAGCAGCCGCGGUAAUACGUAGGGGGCGAGCGUUAUCCGGAUUCACUGGGUGUAAAGGGAGCGUAGACGGCCAAGCAAGCCAGGGGUGAAAGCCCGGGGGCCAACCCCGGGACUGCCCUUGGAACUGCUUGGCUGGAGUGCGGGAGGGGCAGGCGGAAUUCCUGGUGUAGCGGCGAAAUGCGUAGAUAUCAGGAGGAACACCGGCGGCGAAGGCGGCCUGCUGGACCGCGACUGACGUUGAGGCUCGAGAGCGUGGGGAGCAAACAGGAUUAGAUACCCGAGUACA
This 447-nucleotide ribosomal RNA is filed under the name uncultured bacterium. Its description in RNAcentral is "bacterial SSU rRNA". It matches the Rfam family "Bacterial small subunit ribosomal RNA", at positions 331 to 797 of the family's 1533-position model. The record is from RNAcentral.